AGCCUAUGAUGAGUAAAGAAUAAGAGUAGUGGACAGAAGGGAUUUCUGAGCAAUUUGAUUCUGAGGCU
This is a small nucleolar RNA of Megalops cyprinoides (Indo-Pacific tarpon), 68 nucleotides long. RefSeq annotates it as small nucleolar RNA SNORD75. Lineage: Eukaryota; Metazoa; Chordata; Actinopteri; Elopiformes; Megalopidae. The record is from RefSeq and is a predicted model, not a curated record. The transcript has a single exon.